AGAGUUUGAUCAUGGCUCAGAUUGAACGUUGGCGGUGUGGAUUAGGCAUGCAAGUCGCGCGCGAAAGUCUUCGGACAAGUAAAGCGGCGGACGGGCGAGUAACGCGUAAUCAACCUGCCCCUGAGACUGGAAUAGCCACUGGAAACGGUGGGUAAUGCCAGAUAGCCCCCCGGGCCGGCAUCGGCCUGUGGGUAAACGGUGGCGCAAGCUGCUGCCCUGGGAGGGGAUUGCGUCCUAUCAGCUAGUUGGUGGGGUAAUGGCUCACCAAGGCGAUGACGGGUAGCUGGUCUGAGAGGACGACCAGCCGCACUGGGACUGAGACACUGCCCAGACUCCUACGGGAGGCUGCAGUCGAGAAUCUUCCGCAAUGGGCGAAAGCCUGACGGAGCGACACCGCGUGCAGGACGAAGGCCCUCGGGUUGUAAACUGCUGUCACGCUCUAGGAAUGCCAUGUCGUUAAUAGCGGCAUGGUGACCAAGGCGAAAGAA
This 488-nucleotide ribosomal RNA is filed under the name uncultured Victivallis sp. Its description in RNAcentral is "bacterial SSU rRNA". It matches the Rfam family "Bacterial small subunit ribosomal RNA", at positions 8 to 489 of the family's 1533-position model. The record is from RNAcentral. Lineage: Bacteria; Pseudomonadati; Lentisphaerota; Lentisphaeria; Victivallales; Victivallaceae.